RNAcentral lists this ribosomal RNA (253 nucleotides) under uncultured bacterium. RNAcentral describes it as "partial 16S ribosomal RNA". It matches the Rfam family "Bacterial small subunit ribosomal RNA", at positions 524 to 776 of the family's 1533-position model. The record is from RNAcentral.
UACGGAGGGUGCGAGCGUUGUCCGGAAUCACUGGGCGUAAAGGGCGCGUAGGCGGCGCGGAAAGUCAGCGGUGAAAGCUUGGGGCUCAACCCCGAGUCGGCCGUCGAUACUUCCGUGCUCGAGCACUGUAGAGGCAGGUGGAAUUUCGGGUGUAGCGGUGGAAUGCGUAGAGAUCCGAAAGAACACCGGUGGCGAAGGCGGCCUGCUGGGCAGUUGCUGACGCUGAUGCGCGACAGCGUGGGGAGCAAACAGG